RNAcentral lists this ribosomal RNA (305 nucleotides) under uncultured bacterium. Its description in RNAcentral is "bacterial SSU rRNA". It matches the Rfam family "Bacterial small subunit ribosomal RNA", at positions 334 to 637 of the family's 1533-position model. The record is from RNAcentral.
UUUGCCUACGGGACGCAGCAGUGAGGAAUAUUGGUCAAUGGUCGGGAGACUGAACCAGCCAAGCCGCGUGAGGGAGGAAGGUACAGAGUAUCGUAAACCUCUUUUGUCAGGGAACAAAGGCGGGGACGUGUCCCCGGAUGAGUGUACCUGAAGAAAAAGCAUCGGCUAACUCCGUGCCAGCAGCCGCGGUAAUACGGAGGAUGCGAGCGUUAUCCGGAUUUAUUGGGUUCAAAGGGUGCGUAGGCGGAUUUUUAAGUCAGCGGUAAAAUGUCCGGGCUCAACCCGGGCCGGCCGUUGAAACUGGG